CCUACGGGAGGCAGCAGUGGGGAAUAUUGGACAAUGGGCGAAAGCCUGAUCCAGCAAUGCCGCGUGAGUGAUGAAGGCCUUCGGGUCGUAAAGCUCUUUUACCAGGGAUGAUAAUGACAGUACCUGGAGAAUAAGCUCCGGCUAACUCCGUGCCAGCAGCCGCGGUAAUACGGAGGGAGCUAGCGUUGUUCGGAAUUACUGGGCGUAAAGAGUACGUAGGCGGUUAUUCAAGUCAGAGGUGAAAGCCCGGGGCUCAACCCCGGAACUGCCUUUGAAACUAGAUAACUAGAGUCUUGGAGAGGUUAGUGGAAUUCCGAGUGUAGAGGUGAAAUUCGUAGAUAUUCGGAAGAACACCAGUGGCGAAGGCGACUAACUGGACAAGUACUGACGCUGAGGUACGAAAGCGUGGGAGCAAACAGGAUUAGAUACCCUGGUAGUCCACGCCGUAAACGAUGAUAACUAGUUGUUCGGUCACUUGGUGACUGAGUGACGCAGCUAACGCAUUAAGUUAUCCGCCUGGGGAGUACGGUCGCAAGAUUAAAACUCAAAUGAAUUGACGG
Molecule: ribosomal RNA, 560 nt
Filed under: uncultured bacterium
Lineage: Bacteria
Description: bacterial SSU rRNA
Rfam family: Bacterial small subunit ribosomal RNA
Source: RNAcentral